Molecule: long non-coding RNA, 602 nt
Filed under: Homo sapiens (human)
Lineage: Eukaryota; Metazoa; Chordata; Mammalia; Primates; Hominidae
Description: non-protein coding lnc-ANKRD36B-3:12
Source: RNAcentral
ACUAGAGCCUCUGGACACAGCUAAGACAAUGUUAGGAGGGAAAUUUAUAGCACUAAAUCCCACAUCAAAAAGUUAGGAAGAACUCAAAUUAAUAACCUAACAUCACAACUGAAAGAACUAGAGAAGCAAGACAAAACCCCAAAGCUAGAGGAAGACAAGAAAUAACUGAAAAUCUGAGCUGAACUGAAAGAAACCGAGACAUGAAAAAAAGAAAUUCAAAAGAUCUAUGAAUUCCGGUUUCUCCACAGACACUACCCAAAGCAGUGCUUCACUACAGUGGCAGACAGACCUGAAAAUUUUCAUCUGAAGCAGCAGAGUGAACUGCAGAGGCAGGUCACCAACCAGUGUGGAGGCUAAAAGCGGGCCUCUUUGGGGAUUCCAGGUGGAAGUGUUGGACAUCUGUAGUAUUCCUGGUCUCGAAUCAUCCUGAUAUUCUUCAUUUUGUUAUUCACAUUGGACUAGGCAGGAACAAAGAUCACCACAACUGGCUCCCCUUCAACUAUGUUAGAUGGCAACUUGCCUUCAGUAUGGUGAAACACAUCAAAUUUCUCUUGCCUGACACAGCAUAGGAAGAUGCUGAACGGCCACACAGUGAUCCAUUG